UGAUUUGUCUGGUUAAUUCCGUUAACGAACGAGACCUUAACCUGCUAAAUAGGGUAAAAAACUUUUGUUUUUAAAUUACUUCUUAGAAGGACUUUGCGUGUCUAACGCAAGGAAGUUUGAGGCAAUAACAGGUCUGUGAUGCCCUUAGAUGUUCUGGGCUGCACGCGCGCUACAAUAAUGCAUCCAACAAGUUUAUAACCUUGGCUGGUAAGCUUAGGUAAUCUUUUGAAUGUGCAUUGUGAUGGGGAUAGAUUAUUGUAAUUAUUAGUCUUUAACGAGGAAUGCCUAGUAAGCGCAAGUCA
Molecule: ribosomal RNA, 302 nt
Filed under: Hepatozoon sp.
Lineage: Eukaryota; Apicomplexa; Hepatozoidae
Description: SSU rRNA
Rfam family: Eukaryotic small subunit ribosomal RNA
Source: RNAcentral